Long non-coding RNA from Nannospalax galili (Upper Galilee mountains blind mole rat), 2735 nucleotides. RefSeq lists it as uncharacterized. The transcript is spliced from 3 exons. The record is from RefSeq and is a predicted model, not a curated record. Lineage: Eukaryota; Metazoa; Chordata; Mammalia; Rodentia; Spalacidae.
AUCUCACUCACAGACCUAGCUAGGGUCUGGCAACCAGAAAGUCAUACAGGCACAUUCAGGUCCCAAUCCUCUGGCUCCACCAUUCUGAAAUUUUCCCUUGACAACAACUUUACCCCUUCUUCCUGGGAUUAAUAACCUACUUUCUUCACAUUGGCAAGAGGAAGAAUCUUUUAUGUCUCAGGCAUCUUUCCUCUGCUUGUAUUAUGGAAAUAGAAGAGCAAGUCAGAUGUUAAAAGCUUUUGCAAUGUGAUGGAGAAAAAAGAGCUUAUUUCAACUGGACACAAGAAAGAGGUACUGGCCAAGGAGUCUGAAGACCAAGCAGUGACUUCUUCUAUAGGGUUAAAGGAUUAGCAAAAUGACGGGGGAGAGACCGGAUGACAGUGAACUCUAACUCUCGGGGUGCCUGGUGCUGGAGGCUGCCCCAUGUUCCUUACCUACCCUCCACUCUUAGAAAGGCACUGUCCUGGGGCUGGAGAGAUGGAUCAACGAUUAAGAGCACUGGUUGCUCUUGCAGAGGACCCAGGUUCAAAUCUCAGCAUCCACAUAGCAGCUAACAACCAUCCAUAACUCCAGUUCCAGGAAAUCUGAUGUCUUCUUCUGACCUCUGUGGACACUACAUGAUACAGAUACACAUAUAUACAUGCAGGCAAUACACAUACCAUAAAAUAAAAAUAAUAAAUAUUUUUAAAAAGAGAGACACUGUCCUAAGUUCUCCUGUCAUAACAAAUCCCAUCAGGAAGUGUGGUAUGGCAUAAAGAUAGGCUUUGGAAUCAGUUCCAGAACUUUCCACUCACUGCUUGAAUUGCCUUGCCCCAAAGUACAUGCUUUCUUUAUGGAAAAGCUGUACACAUUAAAUUAGUCAGGGUCAACCUCAUGUAUAUCAAUACAUGUAGCUUCCACUGCAACCACUAAGUAUGUGAUAAAGUUGAGAUAUUUGCUGGUAAUUAAUAAUCAAGGCUAACCUUGACUGAGGCCAGUGACCCAGGGUUCAAACAUCUGAGAAUGAUUGCCUCUGGUACAUUGGAAAAGGCCAUGCAACUUAGCCCUAAGUGUUAAUGCACAUUAUGCCCAGUGUAAUGGUGUCCCUGACUUUGGUAUUUACUACGCAAGGCCACAUUAUAGCCUUGAUAAAAAUAGCCCUGACUCUUAGCAUCUAUUUUAAGGCCCAGAACUGCUGAGAACCUGUCCUUCAGUAUUGGAACAGUAUCAUCCAAGUGAAGUAAAAGCUGGACUCUUAGAGAAUUUUGCCCUUUCCAAUUCCUAGAUCUAGACCAACACAGACAACCAUAAACAGAUGUUAUCCAUUGAAUCCCAUCUGUUUACAGCUGUGUCCCAGACUGCCUGUUUCCUCCAAGGGGCAGGGCCUGCUGUGGAAAAUUGACUGCAGAGGGACUUGUUGUGCCAUCUUGUGAUGGAAGCAGCAAGCCACAAUGAAUGCAUGGCUGUGGACGUGGAGAAAAAGAUGGCCCUGGUGUCUCACCUGCAUGGACUUGAGAGGGGGCAUUUACCGACCUGGGGCAAGACUGUGGGCCCAAGAUGCAUGGAGAAAAGUUAAUGGAGACUUUGGGCGGGCACAGAAGAGAUCUGGAAUAGUGGGCCAAGCCAUGCAGAGCUGGGUGCCAGGUGUGCAUUUCUAUGUAAGUCCCCUCAUUUACCCCCUCCCUACCCAAGGGCAUAAACCAUAAUAAAUUCACAUGAAAAGAUGUCAUAUGGUUUGUCUUGUCACACAAGAGACCCCGAGAGAACUCUGGUGACAACAGGACAAUGGGAUAAUCUUCAUAUCAUAUACUUCCAAUAUGUAAUUGCUUUUGCAAUGCUUCUGGUACUCCCCAUAUACACACACCCAUGCAUACAUCAUUCUAGGUCCAAGGCAAGGAAGAGUCAUGAGUGAUUAAGGUUAGAUGGCCAGGUCACAAGAGGAGUACAUGGUUCCAUGAGCUUGUUUACAUUGUAAGCAAGCUAAGAUUCACUUUUAGUUACAAGGUUGAGUAAAAGUCAUCUGUCCAGAAUACGUCCAUAAUGCAAAGUCCUCCCUACACCCAACUGCUCUUAAAGUUGUGUUUACAGUCCGCAUCCUUGAAGGAUGACAUAAUAAUGCUUCUCCCAAGACAAAGGGAAGGCAUGUCCUCAUUUGCUCUACAAGUCACGAGUCUUCCAAGCCUCCCUCUCCAAUAUGCCCCCCAUUGAGUGUGAGAACUCCCCAGCAUGCCAGUGGUACUGACCAUUCAUGAAAAGCAAGAUGACAGAAUGAACUGCUAGACUUGAGCACAUGGGUAUUUCUGGUGUCCUUGACAAAAUAAAUUCAUGAAAUAGAGAGAAAAGUCUUUGUGGCCAUAAAUGCAAGAGAAGAUGGAAAGGCAGGGAAUAGAAAUGUUGGAUACAAACUUUUUCAAUCCCUUUUUCCAGGAAGAUAAAUGAGACAAUGAGAAAUUACCUUCAUCCUUCUAAGAAACCUAUGUAGACUUUCAAGUAUAUGACCCCAUGCCCAUUAAGGAACAACUCAUGGAGAUCCUCUUCAUAUGUUAGCCUUCCUAUAAAGUAUUUAUUAUUUACAGUGGAAAACAAUGGCUUUGGCCAAAGCUGUCAUGCCCUCUUGUUUGGGUCACAGGCCAGUGUGAGAUAGAUACAGGGAGGCUAGAUGUUACCUGUGGUGGUUUAAAUGAGAAUGUCCCCCAUAGGCUCCAAGUAUUUGGACAUUUUGUUCCCAGUUGGUGGCACUGUUUUGGGAGAUCAUG